RNAcentral lists this ribosomal RNA (276 nucleotides) under uncultured bacterium. Its description in RNAcentral is "partial 16S ribosomal RNA". It matches the Rfam family "Bacterial small subunit ribosomal RNA", at positions 80 to 354 of the family's 1533-position model. The record is from RNAcentral.
UAUGCCUGCCGGCGACCGGCGCACGGGUGAGUAACACGUAUGUAACCUGCCCUAUGCAGGGGGAUAACCCGGAGAAAUCCGGCCUAAUACCGCGUAACACCUUUUGGGAGCAUUCCCGGGGGGUUAAAGGAGAGAUCCGGCAUAGGAUGGACAUGCGUCGCAUUAGGUAGACGGCGGGGUAACGGCCCACCGUGCCGACGAUGCGUAGGGGUUCUGAGAGGAAGGCCCCCCACACUGGUACUGAGACACGGACCAGACUCCUACGGAAGGCAGCAG